This 433-nucleotide ribosomal RNA is filed under the name uncultured bacterium. RNAcentral describes it as "partial 16S ribosomal RNA". It matches the Rfam family "Bacterial small subunit ribosomal RNA", at positions 29 to 507 of the family's 1533-position model. The record is from RNAcentral.
AAUGAACGCUGGCGGCAGGCCUAACACAUGCAAGUCGAGCGAGGACUUGGGUUCUAGCGUCGGACGGGGUAGUGACCCGUGGGAAUGUGCCCUUAUCUACGGACUCGCACUGGGAAACUGGGAUUAAUACCGUAUACGACCUACUAGGGAAAGAUUUAUCGGACAACGUUUAGCCCGCGUUGCAUUAGGUAGUUGGGGGGGUAAUGGCCUACCAAGCGGUGGAUCCAUAGCUGGUUUGGGAGGAUGAUCAUCCACACUGGGACUGAGACACGGCACAGACUCCUACGGGAGGCAGCAGUGAGGAAGCUUAGACAAUGGGGGGAACGCUGAAGUAGCCAUGCCGGGAGAAUGAUGUAGGUCGGAAGGUAGAAAAGCUCUAGCAGCUAGGAAGAUAAUGACGGUACCAACAGAAGAAGCCACGGCUAACUACGUG